Molecule: ribosomal RNA, 433 nt
Filed under: uncultured bacterium
Lineage: Bacteria
Description: bacterial SSU rRNA
Rfam family: Bacterial small subunit ribosomal RNA
Source: RNAcentral
AACGAACGCUGGCGGCAGGCCUAACACAUGCAAGUCGAACGCCGUAGCAAUACGGAGUGGCAGACGGGUGAGUAACACGCGGGAACAUACCCUUUGGUUCGGAAUAACUCAGGGAAACUUGAGCUAAUACCGGAUAAGCGCUUAGGCGGAAAGAUUUAUCGCCGAAGGAUUGGCCCGCGUCCGAUUAGCUAGUUGGUGAGGUAACGGCUCACCAAGGCGACGAUCGGUAGCUGGUCUGAGAGGAUGAUCAGCCACAUUGGGACUGAGACACGGCCCAAACUCCUACGGGAGGCAGCAGUGGGGAAUAUUGGACAAUGGGCGCAAGCCUGAUCCAGCCAUGCCGCGUGAGUGAUGAAGGCCCUAGGGUUGUAAAGCUCUUUUGUGUGGGAAGAUAAUGACUGUACCACAAGAAUAAGCCCCGGCUAACUUCGUG